Molecule: non-coding RNA, 69 nt
Organism: Rattus norvegicus (Norway rat)
Lineage: Eukaryota; Metazoa; Chordata; Mammalia; Rodentia; Muridae
Source: Rfam
GGGGGUUUGGCUCAGUGGUAGAGCGCUUGCCUAGCAAGCGCAAGGCCCUGGGUUCGGUCCCCAGCUCCA